UGGGGAAUAUUGCACAAUGGGCGCAAGCCUGAUGCAGCCAUGCCGCGUGUGUGAAGAAGGCCUUCGGGUUGUAAAGCACUUUCAGCGAGGAGGAAGGUGGUGAGCUUAAUACGCUCAUCAAUUGACGUUACUCGCAGAGGAAGCACCGGCUAACUCCGUGCCAGCAGCCGCGGUAAUACGGAGGGUGCAAGCGUUAAUCGGAAUUACUGGGCGUAAAGCGCACGCAGGCGGUUUGUUAAGUCAGAUGUGAAAAUCCCCGGGCUCAACCUGGGAACUGCAUUUGAAACUGGCAAGCUAGAGUCUCGUAGAGGGGGUAGAAUUCCAGGUGGUAGCGGUGAAAUGCGUAGAGAUCUGGAAGGAAUACCGGUGGCGAAGGCAGCCCCCUGGCCAAUACUG
This 396-nucleotide ribosomal RNA is filed under the name uncultured bacterium. RNAcentral's name for it is "partial 16S ribosomal RNA". It matches the Rfam family "Bacterial small subunit ribosomal RNA", at positions 355 to 742 of the family's 1533-position model. The record is from RNAcentral.